GACGAACGCUGGCGGCGUGCUUAACACAUGCAAGUCGAACGGAAAGGCCCUGCUUUUGUGGGGUGCUCGAGUGGCGAACGGGUGAGUAACACGUGAGUAACCUGCCCUUGACUUUGGGAUAACUUCAGGAAACUGGGGCUAAUACCGGAUAGGAGCUCCUGCUGCAUGGUGGGGGUUGGAAAGUUUCGGCGGUUGGGGAUGGACUCGCGGCUUAUCAGCUUGUUGGUGGGGUAGUGGCUUACCAAGGCUUUGACGGGUAGCCGGCCUGAGAGGGUGACCGGCCACAUUGGGACUGAAAUAAGGCCCAGACUCCUACGGGAGGCAGCAGUGGGGAAUAUUGCACAAUGGGCGGAAGCCUGAUGCAGCAACGCCGCGUGCGGGAUGACGGCCUUCGGGUUGUAAACCGCUUUCGCCUGUGACGAAGCGUGAGUGACGGUAAUGGGUAAAGAAGCACCGGCUAACUACGUG
RNAcentral lists this ribosomal RNA (468 nucleotides) under uncultured bacterium. RNAcentral's name for it is "partial 16S ribosomal RNA". It matches the Rfam family "Bacterial small subunit ribosomal RNA", at positions 28 to 507 of the family's 1533-position model. The record is from RNAcentral.